Daucus carota subsp. sativus is the source of this 2324-nucleotide long non-coding RNA. RefSeq lists it as uncharacterized. The transcript has 4 exons. The record is from RefSeq and is a predicted model, not a curated record. NCBI's taxonomy places the organism in Eukaryota, Viridiplantae, Streptophyta, Magnoliopsida, Apiales, Apiaceae.
CGCAAGCAGUCUUUAGGACAAACAAUCAUUCGUUAUUUUUUAUUAAGUUUUUGUGUAUAGUCUGAAACACACAAAGAUAAUGUGGAACAGCGAUAAGUCAUUUAUAUUUUCAUAAUUUUUUUUGUUUCAAGGAUUUGGAUCAUUUGGAUUUUGUUCGUAAAAUGUGGGGUUGCCUAGUAUUUGAUUUAACUACUCUGCAUUAGCUUCCAAAUGUGGUUUAUGCGCUGUUAAUAUAAAGUAUAUGGUCAAAAAGUUGGCUUUUUCCAAGUAUGCAUCUAACUAAAUGAUAUACAUAAAUUCUAUUUACAAUUUGUUCAUCUUUUUAUAUUGUGUAUAUGGAACACGGGCACAGAUUGGUAUUUGGUUGAUUAUGUAAAAAGCAACAGCCAACAAAUUUAUUUCCCAUGAUCCGGUAGAGGAAGGAUUGCAUGUAUUGUUAUAUAUUUGAGCAUUUUCCCAUUAUCUGGCAUAUUAAUUGAGCAUGGUUCUAAUAAUAUAAUCUAUUAACUUUUCCAUUGAUUUCUUUGAGUGUAUUAUUUAUGUGUAAUGUUCAAUGUAAUUAUAGAAUUUUAUAAAGAAAUUCAUUGUUCACUUCUAUGCAAUGCUCUUAUUCUGAGGCUUUUGCACUUAGGUAUGUUUUGGAUCCUCACAACCGUGGUGUGAAAUUUUUAUGAUAGGCAGUUAGUUCAUUUUUCUACUUGUUUGUUGACAGAGUUAAAAUAAUUGACUAGGGAUCUGUAAAGAAGGUGAAAUGGCCAAUCAAGUUGGGUGGGGGAUAAUGACCACCAAUCGAGAUUCUUGUGGGUCCAGUUUUCCGCAUUAUAUAGUUUGUUUUCAUCUACAUUCUGUAAUCCUAAGCUUCAUUAUUAAUUAAAUUUUUUAACUUUGUUCAGGAUAGUAGCAUUGUGUCAGAAAGAGAAGGACAAAAAAAUUGACAUGAGGACAUAAUAAAGAAGACUAGGGCUGAGCAAAACCGAACCGAAACCGAAUAACCGAACCGAACCGUGCAAUUCUGGUUAGGUUCGGUUUUUAUUUUUCUGAAAAUUUCGGUUAGUUCGGUUUUCGGUUAUUGACCGAAUUGUUAUUCGGUUCGGUUCGGUUAUUAGAAUUAUAAAUACGGUUAUAACCGAAAUAACCGAAUUAUAUAUUUAUUAUUUUUUAAAUAAUAUAAUAUAUAUGUAAUAUAGAAUAGAAAAUACAAAAUAGAAACAGAUUAGACUUGCGGCUUGCCCACACCCAGUUUCUCGUAUACCUAAUCUUAUUACACGCCGCCGCCGUGACUCCGCCUCUCCCUCAUCCCUGCAUCCGCCAACUUCAAGAAUCAAAGAUUCUUUCAGAGGUGGUUAUGGUCCACUCCUACUUCCCCAAAGUGUGAUGCCUGUUCCAAACUGGAGUCCUUAAUUGGGACCUGUAAGCCCUACAAUGUCUCCUGGUGUGCAACCUUCAGUCAAAGUUGCUUCUUUGUAUGGCAUGACACCACUAUCUUCUUCCACUCCUGCAUUUGGAGGACCUUGUGCUCCUCUACCUUCAUAUGCUGGUCCUUCAACUAAUAGCCAGAUGGAACAACUGUUUUUGCAGAGACCAGGCCAACCGGAGUGUCAAUAUUACAUGAAGAACGAGGGCUGCAUCCGAGCUCUCUUGCAAGUAUCACCAGCCAGCAGACUGGAUGGCAUCAAAGAAAAAUUGUGUUUUUAGCCACUUAGGGCUACCAUUAUGCCAGGGUGUGCAGACCUGCAGUUUCUACGUGCAGAACGGAUAGUGCAAAUUGGGUCAUACUUGCAAGUUUGAACAUCCAGUAUUCCAGUGGCUGCUUCAAAUACCAUACACCAGUUUAACCUUCAAUGACAUAGCUGAAUGCUCAUGUGUUUUAGGUGUACUUGGGUGCAAAGUGGAUCCUUGUUAAACUUAGGUUACAUUAUGGGAGACACAGCAAGAUGAUACAGCUUUCACAUCUUGAAUGUCCAGCUCUACAGUCAAAUUUUCUGGUCUUAAACAUGUAGUGGCAGCAGAAGAAAAACUCGACAUCAAGCUAAAACCCUAAAGAAUGCUGCUAAAUAUAUCACAGAUUUAAGGUCUUGUUGAAAAUUUUGUCCUUGUUUAUCUAGCUUAAGAUCUGGAAAGCUAAUGUAGUUUGUUGCGUAAACUUUCUUUCCCAGCUCGGUUACAUGGCCCUGGUGUAUAUUGGGGAGAAUCUUUCUGGGACAUCUCUCCAAUACCUAGCUGAUUUAACAUAAUCGGAUUUGCCUAUGAUAUGUGACUUCUAUUUGAUAAAAUAUAAAUGUAUAAGCCAUCGAGACUACUUGCGUAGGUCGAGGUCUUGUGUA